UUAAGUUAUUAAGGGCGCACGGUGGAUGCCUUGGCACUAGAAGCCGAUGAAGGACGUUACUAACGACGAUAUGCUUUGGGGAGCUGUAAGUAAGCUUUGAUCCAGAGAUUUCCGAAUGGGGAAACCCAGCAUGAGUUAUGUCAUGUUAUCGAUAUGUGAAUACAUAGCAUAUCAGAAGGCACACCCGGAGAACUGAAACAUCUUAGUACCCGGAGGAAGAGAAAGAAAAUUCGAUUCCCUUAGUAGCGGCGAGCGAAACGGGAAGAGCCCAAACCAACAAGCUUGCUUGUUGGGGUUGUAGGACACUCUAUACGGAGUUACAAAGGACGACAUUAGACGAAUCAUCUGGAAAGAUGAAUCAAAGAAGGUAAUAAUCCUGUAGUCGAAAAUGUUGUCUCUCUUGAGUGGAUCCUGAGUACGACGGAGCACGUGAAAUUCCGUCGGAAUCUGGGAGGACCAUCUCCUAAGGCUAAAUACUCUCUAGUGACCGAUAGUGAACCAGUACCGUGAGGGAAAGGUGAAAAGCACCCCGGAAGGGGAGUGAAAUAGAACCUGAAACCGUGUGCUUACAAGUAGUCAGAGCCCGUUAAUGGGUGAUGGCGUGCCUUUUGUAGAAUGAACCGGCGAGUUACGAUUUGAUGCAAGGUUAAGCAGUAAAUGUGGAGCCGUAGCGAAAGCGAGUCUGAAUAGGGCGUUUAGUAUUUGGUCGUAGACCCGAAACCAGGUGAUCUACCCUUGGUCAGGUUGAAGUUCAGGUAACACUGAAUGGAGGACCGAACCGACUUACGUUGAAAAGUGAGCGGAUGAACUGAGGGUAGCGGAGAAAUUCCAAUCGAACCUGGAGAUAGCUGGUUCUCUCCGAAAUAGCUUUAGGGCUAGCCUCAAGUGAUGAUUAUUGGAGGUAGAGCACUGUUUGGACGAGGGGCCCCUCUCGGGUUACCGAAUUCAGACAAACUCCGAAUGCCAAUUAAUUUAACUUGGGAGUCAGAACAUGGGUGAUAAGGUCCGUGUUCGAAAGGGAAACAGCCCAGACCACCAGCUAAGGUCCCAAAAUAUAUGUUAAGUGGAAAAGGAUGUGGCGUUGCCCAGACAACUAGGAUGUUGGCUUAGAAGCAGCCAUCAUUUAAAGAGUGCGUAAUAGCUCACUAGUCGAGUGACACUGCGCCGAAAAUGUACCGGGGCUAAACAUAUUACCGAAGCUGUGGAUUGUCCUUUGGACAAUGGUAGGAGAGCGUUCUAAGGGCGUUGAAGCAUGAUCGUAAGGACAUGUGGAGCGCUUAGAAGUGAGAAUGCCGGUGUGAGUAGCGAAAGACGGGUGAGAAUCCCGUCCACCGAUUGACUAAGGUUUCCAGAGGAAGGCUCGUCCGCUCUGGGUUAGUCGGGUCCUAAGCUGAGGCCGACAGGCGUAGGCGAUGGAUAACAGGUUGAUAUUCCUGUACCACCUAUAAUCGUUUUAAUCGAUGGGGGGACGCAGUAGGAUAGGCGAAGCGUGCGAUUGGAUUGCACGUCUAAGCAGUAAGGCUGAGUAUUAGGCAAAUCCGGUACUCGUUAAGGCUGAGCUGUGAUGGGGAGAAGACAUUGAGUCUUCGAGUCGUUGAUUUCACACUGCCGAGAAAAGCCUCUAGAUAGAAAAUAGGUGCCCGUACCGCAAACCGACACAGGUAGUCAAGAUGAGAAUUCUAAGGUGAGCGAGCGAACUCUCGUUAAGGAACUCGGCAAAAUGACCCCGUAACUUCGGGAGAAGGGGUGCUCUUUAGGGUUAACGCCCAGAAGAGCCGCAGUGAAUAGGCCCAAGCGACUGUUUAUCAAAAACACAGGUCUCUGCUAAACCGUAAGGUGAUGUAUAGGGGCUGACGCCUGCCCGGUGCUGGAAGGUUAAGAGGAGUGGUUAGCUUCUGCGAAGCUACGAAUCGAAGCCCCAGUAAACGGCGGCCGUAACUAUAACGGUCCUAAGGUAGCGAAAUUCCUUGUCGGGUAAGUUCCGACCCGCACGAAAGGCGUAACGAUUUGGGCACUGUCUCAACGAGAGACUCGGUGAAAUCAUAGUACCUGUGAAGAUGCAGGUUACCCGCGACAGGACGGAAAGACCCCGUGGAGCUUUACUGUAGCCUGAUAUUGAAAUUCGGCACAGCUUGUACAGGAUAGGUAGGAGCCUUUGAAACGUGAGCGCUAGCUUACGUGGAGGCGCUGGUGGGAUACUACCCUAGCUGUGUUGGCUUUCUAACCCGCACCACUUAUCGUGGUGGGAGACAGUGUCAGGCGGGCAGUUUGACUGGGGCGGUCGCCUCCUAAAAGGUAACGGAGGC
This 2306-nucleotide ribosomal RNA is filed under the name Staphylococcus aureus. Its description in RNAcentral is "bacterial LSU rRNA". It matches the Rfam family "Bacterial large subunit ribosomal RNA", at positions 3 to 2307 of the family's 2925-position model. The record is from RNAcentral. Lineage: Bacteria; Bacillati; Bacillota; Bacilli; Caryophanales; Staphylococcaceae.